UCAGUGUGUGUGUUAGUGGAAGCGUCUGGAAAGGCGCGCGAUACAGGGUGACAGCCCCGUACACAAAAAUGCACAUGCUGUGAGCUCGAUGAGUAGGGCGGGACACGUGGUAUCCUGUCUGAAUAUGGGGGGACCAUCCUCCAAGGCUAAAUACUCCUGACUGACCGAUAGUGAACCAGUACCGUGAGGGAAAGGCGAAAAGAACCCCGGCGAGGGGAGUGAAAAAGAACCUGAAACCGUGUACGUACAAGCAGUGGGAGCACGCUUAGGCGUGUGACUGCGUACCUUUUGUAUAAUGGGUCAGCGACUUAUAUUCUGUAGCAAGGUUAACCGAAUAGGGGAGCCGAAGGGAAACCGAGUCUUAACUGGGCGUUAAGUUGCAGGGUAUAGACCCGAAACCCGGUGAUCUAGCCAUGGGCAGGUUGAAGGUUGGGUAACACUAACUGGAGGACCGAACCGACUAAUGUUGAAAAAUUAGCGGAUGACUUGUGGCUGGGGGUGAAAGGCCAAUCAAACCGGGAGAUAGCUGGUUCUCCCCGAAAGCUAUUUAGGUAGCGCCUCGUGAAUUCAUCUCCGGGGGUAGAGCACUGUUUCGGCAAGGGGGUCAUCCCGACUUACCAACCCGAUGCAAACUGCGAAUACCGGAGAAUGUUAUCACGGGAGACACACGGCGGGUGCUAACGUCCGUCGUGAAGAGGGAAACAACCCAGACCGCCAGCUAAGGUCCCAAAGUCAUGGUUAAGUGGGAAACGAUGUGGGAAGGCCCAGACAGCCAGGAUGUUGGCUUAGAAGCAGCCAUCAUUUAAAGAAAGCGUAAUAGCUCACUGGUCGAGUCGGCCUGCGCGGAAGAUGUAACGGGGCUAAACCAUGCACCGAAGCUGCGGCAGCGACGCUGAUGCGUUGUUGGGUAGGGGAGCGUUCUGUAAGCCUGCGAAGGUGUGCUGUGAGGCAUGCUGGAGGUAUCAGAAGUGCGAAUGCUGACAUAAGUAACGAUAAAGCGGGUGAAAAGCCCGCUCGCCGGAAGACCAAGGGUUCCUGUCCAACGUUAAUCGGGGCAGGGUGAGUCGACCCCUAAGGCGAGGCCGAAAGGCGUAGUCGAUGGGAAACAGGUUAAUAUUCCUGUACUUGGUGUUACUGCGAAGGGGGGACGGAGAAGGCUAUGUUGGCCGGGCGACGGUUGUCCCGGUUUAAGCGUGUAGGCUGGUUUUCCAGGCAAAUCCGGAAAAUCAAGGCUGAGGCGUGAUGACGAGGCACUACGGUGCUGAAGCAACAAAUGCCCUGCUUCCAGGAAAAGCCUCUAAGCAUCAGGUAACAUCAAAUCGUACCCCAAACCGACACAGGUGGUCAGGUAGAGAAUACCAAGGCGCUUGAGAGAACUCGGGUGAAGGAACUAGGCAAAAUGGUGCCGUAACUUCGGGAGAAGGCACGCUGAUAUGUAGGUGAAGCGACUUGCUCGUGGAGCUGAAAUCAGUCGAAGAUACCAGCUGGCUGCAACUGUUUAUUAAAAACACAGCACUGUGCAAACACGAAAGUGGACGUAUACGGUGUGACGCCUGCCCGGUGCCGGAAGGUUAAUUGAUGGGGUUAGCGCAAGCGAAGCUCUUGAUCGAAGCCCCGGUAAACGGCGGCCGUAACUAUAACGGUCCUAAGGUAGCGAAAUUCCUUGUCGGGUAAGUUCCGACCUGCACGAAUGGCGUAAUGAUGGCCAGGCUGUCUCCACCCGAGACUCAGUGAAAUUGAACUCGCUGUGAAGAUGCAGUGUACCCGCGGCAAGACGGAAAGACCCCGUGAACCUUUACUAUAGCUUGACACUGAACAUUGAGCCUUGAUGUGUAGGAUAGGUGGGAGGCUUUGAAGUGUGGACGCCAGUCUGCAUGGAGCCGACCUUGAAAUACCACCCUUUAAUGUUUGAUGUUCUAACGUUGACCCGUGAUCCGGGUUGCGGACAGUGUCUGGUGGGUAGUUUGACUGGGGCGGUCUCCUCCUAAAGAGUAACGGAGGAGCACGAAGGUUGGCUAAUCCUGGUCGGACAUCAGGAGGUUAGUGCAAUGGCAUAAGCCAGCUUGACUGCGAGCGUGACGGCGCGAGCAGGUGCGAAAGCAGGUCAUAGUGAUCCGGUGGUUCUGAAUGGAAGGGCCAUCGCUCAACGGAUAAAAGGUACUCCGGGGAUAACAGGCUGAUACCGCCCAAGAGUUCAUAUCGACGGCGGUGUUUGGCACCUCGAUGUCGGCUCAUCACAUCCUGGGGCUGAAGUAGGUCCCAAGGGUAUGGCUGUUCGCCAUUUAAAGUGGUACGCGAGCUGGGUUUAGAACGUCGUGAGACAGUUCGGUCCCUAUCUGCCGUGGGCGCUGGAGAACUGAGGGGGGCUGCUCCUAGUACGAGAGGACCGGAGUGGACGCAUCACUGGUGUUCGGGUUGUCAUGCCAAUGGCACUGCCCGGUAGCUAAAUGCGGAAGAGAUAAGUGCUGAAAGCAUCUAAGCACGAAACUUGCCCCGAGAUGAGUUCUCCCUGACUCCUUGAGAGUCCUGAAGGAACGUUGAAGACGACGACGUUGAUAGGCCGGGUGUGUAAGCGCAGCGAUGCGUUGAGCUAACCGGUACUAAUGAACCGUGAG
RNAcentral lists this ribosomal RNA (2615 nucleotides) under Escherichia coli. RNAcentral describes it as "partial 23S ribosomal RNA". It matches the Rfam family "Bacterial large subunit ribosomal RNA", at positions 317 to 2915 of the family's 2925-position model. Lineage: Bacteria; Pseudomonadati; Pseudomonadota; Gammaproteobacteria; Enterobacterales; Enterobacteriaceae. The record is from RNAcentral.